UAAUGCCUAGGAAUCUGCCUGGUAGUGGGGGACAACGUUUCGAAAGGAACGCUAAUACCGCAUACGUCCUACGGGAGAAAGCAGGGACCUUCGGGCCUUGCGCUAUCAGAUGAGCCUAGGUCGGAUUAGCUAGUUGGUGAGGUAAUGGCUCACCAAGGCGACGAUCCGUAACUGGUCUGAGAGGAUGAUCAGUCACACUGGAACUGAGACACGGUCCAGACUCCUACGGGAGGCAGCAGUGGGGAAUAUUGGACAAUGGGCGAAAGCCUGAUCCAGCCAUGCCGCGUGUGUGAAGAAGGUCUUCGGAUUGUAAAGCACUUUAAGUUGGGAGGAAGGGCAGUAAGUUAAUACCUUGCUGUUUUGACGUUACCGACAGAAUAAGCACCGGCUAACUCUGUGCCAGCAGCCGCGGUAAUACAGAGGGUGCAAGCGUUAAUCGGAAUUACUGGGCGUAAAGCGCGCGUAGUGGUUCGUUAAGUUGGAUGUGAAAGCCCCGGGCUCAACCUGGGAACUGCAUCCAAAACUGGCGAGCUAGAGUACGGUAGAGGGUGGUGGAAUUUCCUGUGUAGCGGUGAAAUGCGUAGAUAUAGGAAGGAACACCAGUGGCGAAGGCGACCACCUGGACUGAUACUGACACUGAGGUGCGAAAGCGUGGGGAGCAAACAGGAUUAGAUACCUGGUAGUCCACGCCGUAA
This 695-nucleotide ribosomal RNA is filed under the name bacterium MS-AsIII-66. RNAcentral's name for it is "bacterial SSU rRNA". It matches the Rfam family "Bacterial small subunit ribosomal RNA", at positions 111 to 805 of the family's 1533-position model. The record is from RNAcentral.